This 72-nucleotide transfer RNA is filed under the name Camelus ferus (Wild Bactrian camel). It matches the Rfam family "tRNA". Rfam says of the family: Transfer RNA (tRNA) molecules are approximately 80 nucleotides in length. Their secondary structure includes four short double-helical elements and three loops (D, anti-codon, and T loops). Further hydrogen bonds mediate the characteristic L-shaped molecular structure. tRNAs have two regions of fundamental functional importance: the anti-codon, which is responsible for specific mRNA codon recognition, and the 3' end, to which the tRNAs corresponding amino acid is attached (by aminoacyl-tRNA synthetases). tRNAs cope with the degeneracy of the genetic code in two manners: having more than one tRNA (with a specific anti-codon) for a particular amino acid; and 'wobble' base-pairing, i.e. permitting non-standard base-pairing at the 3rd anti-codon position. The record is from Rfam by way of RNAcentral. Lineage: Eukaryota; Metazoa; Chordata; Mammalia; Artiodactyla; Camelidae.
GAGGGUAUAGCUCAGUGGUACAGCGUGCACUUAGCAUGCAUGGGGUCCUAGGUUCAAUCCCCAGUACCUCCA